CGGAGGGAUCAUUACGAAAAGGAGUUCUCGGACUCUUAAACCCUUUGUGAACCUUACCUAUCGUCAGUUGCUUCGGCGGGAGGCCCCUGGGAGGGGCCCCGGGGCCCGGCCUGAGCCGGGCUCCCGCCGGAGGAGCGCAAACCAAACUCUUGCUGUACCUCAGUGGAACAUCCGAGUUAAAAAUAAGAAACAAGUCAAAACUUUCAACAACGGAUCUCUUGGUUCUGGCAUCGAUGAAGAACGCAGCGAAAUGCGAUAAGUAAUGUGAAUUGCAGAAUUCAGUGAAUCAUCGAAUCUUUGAACGCACAUUGCGCCCGCCAGUAUUCUGGCGGGCAUGCCUGUUCGAGCGUCAUUUCAACCACUCAGGCCCUGGUGCCUGGCGUCGGGGUUUCUUGCUUCGGUAGAAUCCCCUAGAAUCAGUGGCGGACCCGCCGCGGCUCCGAGCGUAGUAGUAAAAUAUCUCGCUAUGGAGGUCCGUGGGGGGCUUACCGGCCGUAAAAGCUUUCUCUCGCGAGAAAAUUCUCAAGGUUGACCUCGGAUCAGGUAGGAAUACCCGCUGAACUUAAGCAUAUCAAUAAGCGGAGGAAAAGAAACCAACAGGGAUUGCCCCAGUAACGGCGAGUGAAGCGGCAACAGCUCAGAUUUGAAAUCUGGUCCCCAGGGCCCGAGUUGUAAU
Molecule: ribosomal RNA, 676 nt
Filed under: fungal endophyte
Lineage: Eukaryota; Fungi
Description: eukaryotic LSU rRNA
Rfam family: 5.8S ribosomal RNA (bases 199-352)
Source: RNAcentral